This 858-nucleotide ribosomal RNA is filed under the name uncultured bacterium. Its description in RNAcentral is "bacterial SSU rRNA". It matches the Rfam family "Bacterial small subunit ribosomal RNA", at positions 1 to 817 of the family's 1533-position model. The record is from RNAcentral.
CGGAGAGUUUGAUCCUGGCUCAGGAUGAACGCUGGCGGCGUGCCUAAUACAUGCAAGUCGAACGCUUUGUGGUUCAACUGAUUUGAAGAGCUUGCUCAGAUAUGACGAUGGACAUUGCAAAGAGUGGCGAACGGGUGAGUAACACGUGGGAAACCUACCUCUUAGCAGGGGAUAACAUUUGGAAACAGAUGCUAAUACCGUAUAACAAUAGCAACCGCAUGGUUGCUACUUAAAAGAUGGUUCUGCUAUCACUAAGAGAUGGUCCCGCGGUGCAUUAGUUAGUUGGUGGGGUAAAGGCCUACCAAGACGAUGAUGCAUAGCCGAGUUGAGAGACUGAUCGGCCACAAUGGGACUGAGACACGGCCCAUACUCCUACGGGAGGCAGCAGUAGGGAAUCUUCCACAAUGGGCGAAAGCCUGAUGGAGCAACGCCGCGUGUGUGAUGAAGGGUUUCGGCUCGUAAAACACUGUUGUAAGAGAAGAAUGACAUUGAGAUUAACUGUUCAAUGUGUGACGGUAUCUUACCAGAAAGGAACGGCUAAAUACGUGCCAGCAGCCGCGGUAAUACGUAUGUUCCAAGCGUUAUCCGGAUUUAUUGGGCGUAAAGCGAGCGCAGACGGUUAUUUAAGUCUGAAGUGAAAGCCCUCAGCUCAACUGAGGAAUUGCUUUGGAAACUGGGUGACUUGAGUGCAGUAGAGGAAAGUGGAACUCCAUGUGUAGCGGUGAAAUGCGUAGAUAUAUGGAAGAACACCAGUGGCGAAGGCGGCUUUCUGGACUGUAACUGACGUUGAGGCUCGAAAGUGUGGGUAGCAAACAGGAUUANAUACCCUGGUAGUCCACACCGUAAACGAUGAGUGCU